Molecule: long non-coding RNA, 1838 nt
Filed under: Sus scrofa (pig)
Lineage: Eukaryota; Metazoa; Chordata; Mammalia; Artiodactyla; Suidae
Description: lncRNA (ENSSSCG00050003755.1)
Source: RNAcentral
GCGGUGGAGUCAGAAUGGGUUGCUUAACAGCCACCCCCACCCUGGGCUCGGAAGACGUCCACACCCAGAUCCUUAGCCCACCUGAGCGAGGCCAGGGAUCGAACCCACAUCCUUGUGGACAUUCGUCGGAUUUGUUUCCGAUGGGCGUCAAUGGGAGCUCCAUGGGGCAGCCCCUGAUUUCUCACGCUGGUGUCUGGUUCUGGCUGAAUCGGUGGCUUCUGGCUGGUAUUAGCCAACCGCGCCUGUAUAACAAAACAUCACAGACUCAGAAGCUUUAGAAGGACACACAUUUGCUGUCUCCAGCUUCUGGGGGUGAGGACACUGGACCCCUGGGCGUGAGGGGCUACACGGGAAGUAAGGCGACAUCACAAAGUUGGGCUUACACCACAUGCAUCUCUGGCUGCCCCUCUGUUGUCCUGACACCCGGGCUGCUCAGCCUUGUAACGGAAGCUGGCCCAUGGCUGCAUUGUGUCGCAUAGGAAAUUCAAACUGGCUUUUGGAAGGAUCUGCCACCCCUCUUGUUUCUUUCAACAUAAGAAAAACAGACAGUGAUGAGGUUUCUUCCCCAACCUUGGUUAGAUUUGAAAUACAAAGAGCACCACCAGGGGGGCUCCGGGGGCAGAACCAAACGUGACAUGCCGGGUCCACUUUAGAAGAUGUUUCUUCAGCUGGAGAACAAACACCACUUGAGGGAACGUCAAAGACAGCAGGGAUCAAAAACCUUCCGUUCCCUUGGCCUAAUUGAAUUAGACUCUAUUUUUCAAGCUGCAAAGCGACACGUCAACACAAGUACACUCUAAAAGCAAAAUUGGGAGUUCCCGUUGUGGCUUGGCAAUAACGAUCCCAGCUAGUAUCCGUGAGGAUGCAGGUUUGAUCCCUGGCCUGGCGCAGUGCGUCAAGACCCGGCGUUGCCAUGCACUGAGGUGUUGGUCACGGAUGCGGCUCGGAUCCCGCGUGGCUGUGGCUGUGGUGUCAGCCGGCAGCUACCGCUCUGAUGCACCUGCUAGCCUGGGAACGUCCAUGUGCUGCAGGUGUGGCCUUAAAAAGAAAAUAAAGACAUAAACAAAGAACUGGUCUAAUUUGAGGAUGGGACAUGGCUUCCCCCAACUCUCCCUGGGUGCCACUCUCCCUGGUCGCAUCAUACAGGAACCACUCACAGGGUCCUUUUGAUGGCUGUGCCCUCAACUGUAUUCAUGGCUUCCCCAUGAUAUUAGAAGGAGUCUGCGGCUAAACAUUUUAGCAUGUGCAGGUUGGAAUAAUUCUGGCCGUCUGCUCGCGUUGGUAUCAGGACGUAGAAAAUGCAUGCACUCAUGAACACGCUCAAAUAGGCAACACAGUUAGCAUAGUCUAUCGUAUGGGGACAUGCGUAUGACAGACCGUCAGUAUUUAACCAAUGGCAGGUGGGUGCAGACCUGAAAACUGAGAAACAUGUCAGUCACCAAGCGAAUGCGUCAGGGGUUUGGAAAGCAUAAGGAAUAUAGUCCAUGACGAGGUAAUAGCUCGGCACGAUUGCAGAGGGUCCCCCGACGGGUCACGGGGAGCACUCUGAAAUGUCUACAAGGAUCGAAUCAUGAUGCCGUGUGCCAAGACCUAACACAGGGGUGGAGACCAGUUAUGCUGCAGAAGCGAACAGACUCCUAGAAGAAGAGGUCAGGUGUGUGGUUCCCGAGGCGGGCGGUGGGGGAGGCAGCGGAAAGGGACAAACUUUUAUAGGUAAGAUAAAGAAGGCCCAAGGGACGUGAUGUACAACAUGAUAAGACUCAUGAACAUUGUUCUGUGGGGGGGGAGGGAGGUCCCCGUCGUGUCGCCAUGGUAACACACCUGACUAGCAUCCCAGA